GACGAACGCUGGCGGCGUGCUUAACACAUGCAAGUCGAACGGUGAAGCGAGUGCUUGCACUCGUGGAUCAGUGGCGAACGGGUGAGUAACACGUGAGUAACCUGCCCAUCACUCUGGGAUAAGCACUGGAAACGGUGUCUAAUACUGGAUACGACCAACCCUUGCAUGGGGUGUUGGUGGAAAGAUUUAUCGGUUAUGGAUGGACUCGCGGCCUAUCAGCUUGUUGGCGGGGUAAUGGCCCACCAAGGCGACGACGGGUAGCCGGCCUGAGAGGGUGACCGGCCACACUGGGACUGAGAAACGGCCCAGACUCCUACGGGAGGCAGCAGUGGGGAAUAUUGCACAAUGGGCGAAAGCCUGAUGCAGCGACGCCGCGUGAGGGAUGACGGCCUUCGGGUUGUAAACCUCUUGCAGCAGGGAAGAAGCGAAAGUGACGGUACCUGCAGAAGAAGCACCGGCUAACUACGUG
This 469-nucleotide ribosomal RNA is filed under the name uncultured bacterium. Its description in RNAcentral is "partial 16S ribosomal RNA". It matches the Rfam family "Bacterial small subunit ribosomal RNA", at positions 28 to 507 of the family's 1533-position model. The record is from RNAcentral.